CCUUCGGGGUGAAGCUCGUGGAACGAGCGGCGGACGGGUGAGUAACACGUGGGCAACCUGCCUGUAAGAUCGGAAUAACCCCGGGAAACCGGGGCUAAUGCCGGGUAAUACUUUUCUUCGCAUGAAGAUAAGUUGAAAGAUGGCUUCUCGCUAUCACUUACAGAUGGGCCCGCGGCGCAUUAGCUAGUUGGUGAGGUAACGGCUCACCAAGGCAACGAUGCGUAGCCGACCUGAGAGGGUGAUCGGCCACACUGGGACUGAGACACGGCCCAGACUCCUACGGGAGGCAGCAGUAGGGAAUCUUCCGCAAUGGACGAAAGUCUGACGGAGCAACGCCGCGUGAACGAUGAAGGUCUUCGGAUCGUAAAGUUCUGUUGUCAGGGAAGAACAAGUACCGUGCGAAUAGAGCGGUACCUUGACGGUACCUGACGAGGAAGCCCCGGCUAACUACGUGCCAGCAGCCGCGGUAAUACGUAGGGGGCAAGCGUUGUCCGGAAUUAUUGGGCGUAAAGCGCGCGCAGGCGGUUCCUUAAGUCUGAUGUGAAAGCCCACGGCUCAACCGUGGAGGGUCAUUGGAAACUGGGGAACUUGAGGACAGAAGAGGAGAGUGGAAUUCCACGUGUAGCGGUGAAAUGCGUAGAUAUGUGGAGGAACACCAGUGGCGAAGGCGACUCUCUGGUCUGUUUCUGACGCUGAGGUGCGAAAGCGUGGGUAGCAAACAGGAUUAGAUACCCUGGUAGUCCACGCCGUAAACGAUGAGUGCUAGGUGUUAGGGGGCUUCCACCCCUUAGUGCUGAAGUUAACGCAUUAAGCACUCCGCCUGGGGAGUACGGCCGCAAGGCUGAAACUCAAAGGAAUUGACGGGGGCCCGCACAAGCGGUGGAGCAUGUGGUUUAUUUCG
Molecule: ribosomal RNA, 901 nt
Filed under: Halobacillus kuroshimensis
Lineage: Bacteria; Bacillati; Bacillota; Bacilli; Caryophanales; Bacillaceae
Description: bacterial SSU rRNA
Rfam family: Bacterial small subunit ribosomal RNA
Source: RNAcentral